CGUUGAUAGGCAGGGUGUGUAAGCGUUGUGAGGCGUUGAGCUAACCUGUACUAAUUGCCCGUGAGGCUUAACCAUACAACACCCAAAGGGUUUUG
This 95-nucleotide ribosomal RNA is filed under the name Vibrio sp. VPAP30. RNAcentral describes it as "partial 23S ribosomal RNA". RNAcentral also lists the same sequence under 1 other name. Lineage: Bacteria; Pseudomonadati; Pseudomonadota; Gammaproteobacteria; Vibrionales; Vibrionaceae. The record is from RNAcentral.